UACGUAGGGGGCGAGCGUUGUCCGGAAUUAUUGGGCGUAAAGAGCGUGUAGGCGGUUCGGUAAGUCUACUGUGAAAUCCUGGGGCUCAACCCUGGGCGUGCAGCGGAUACUGCCGGGCUAGAGGAUGGUAGAGGCGAGUGGAAUUCCGAGUGUAGCGGUGAAAUGCGCAGAUAUUCGGAGGAACACCAGUGGCGAAGGCGGCUUACUGGUCCGGUUCUGACGCUGAGGCGCGAAAGCGUGGGGAGCAAACAGG
RNAcentral lists this ribosomal RNA (253 nucleotides) under uncultured bacterium. Its description in RNAcentral is "partial 16S ribosomal RNA". It matches the Rfam family "Bacterial small subunit ribosomal RNA", at positions 524 to 776 of the family's 1533-position model. The record is from RNAcentral.